AUUGAACGCUGGCGGCAGGCCUAACACAUGCAAGUCGAGCGGAUGAAGGGAGCUUGCUCCUGGAUUCAGCGGCGGACGGGUGAGUAAUGCCUAGGAAUCUGCCUGGUAGUGGGGGAUAACGUCCGGAAACGGGCGCUAAUACCGCAUACGUCCUGAGGGAGAAAGUGGGGGAUCUUCGGACCUCACGCUAUCAGAUGAGCCUAGGUCGGAUUAGCUAGUUGGUGGGGUAAAGGCCUACCAAGGCGACGAUCCGUAACUGGUCUGAGAGGAUGAUCAGUCACACUGGAACUUAGAAACGGUCCCGACUCCUUAGGGAGGCAGCAGUUGGGAAUAUUUGACAAUGGGGGGAAGCCUUAUCCAGCCAUGCCGGGUGUUGUAAGAAGGUCUUCCGAUUGUAAAACACCUUAAGUUGGGAGGAAAGGCAGUAAGUUAAUACCUUGCUGUUUUGACGUUACCAACAGAAAAAGCACCGGCUAACUUCGUG
This 484-nucleotide ribosomal RNA is filed under the name uncultured bacterium. RNAcentral's name for it is "partial 16S ribosomal RNA". It matches the Rfam family "Bacterial small subunit ribosomal RNA", at positions 30 to 507 of the family's 1533-position model. The record is from RNAcentral.